GAAGUGCGAUAAGUAGUGUGAAUUGCGGAAUGCCGUGAAUCAUCGAAUCUUUCAACGCACAUUGCGCCCUUGGGUAGGUCCAUUGGGCAUGCCUGUUCGAGCGUCAUUUCCCUUCAAGCUCAAGCACUGCUUGGUGAUGGGCGCUUGUCCCGCCCUGCUGCGCGCGGACUCGCCUCAAAACCAUUGGCGGCCGGCAUCCGUUUUUCGCACGCAGUAUACCGCGCGCGUAGAAUUAGGAAGCCCGGCGUCUACAAAAAGGACCCCCAAGAUUGACCUCGGAUCAGGUAGGGAUACCCGCUGAACUUAA
RNAcentral lists this unclassified non-coding RNA (307 nucleotides) under uncultured Pleosporales. RNAcentral's name for it is "sequence contains ITS1". The stretch from base 1 to 106 matches the Rfam family "5.8S ribosomal RNA", at positions 50 to 154 of the family's 154-position model. The record is from RNAcentral. Lineage: Eukaryota; Fungi; Ascomycota; Dothideomycetes; Pleosporales.